Molecule: ribosomal RNA, 254 nt
Filed under: uncultured bacterium
Lineage: Bacteria
Description: partial 16S ribosomal RNA
Rfam family: Bacterial small subunit ribosomal RNA
Source: RNAcentral
UACGUAGGCAGCAAGCGUUGUCCGGAGUUACUGGGCGUAAAGGGUGUGUAGGCGGUUAUUUAAGUUUGGUGUGAAAUCUCCCGGCUCAACCGGGAGGGUGCGCCGAAUACUGAAUGACUUGGAGUGCGGGAGAGGAAAGUGGAAUUCCUGGUGUAGCGGUGAAAUGCGUAGAUAUCAGGAGGAACACCGGUGGUGUAGACGGCUUUCUGGACCGUAACUGACGCUGAGACACGAAAGCGUGGGUAGCAAACAGG